This is a long non-coding RNA of Mirounga angustirostris (Northern elephant seal), 2649 nucleotides long. RefSeq lists it as uncharacterized. The transcript is spliced from 3 exons. Lineage: Eukaryota; Metazoa; Chordata; Mammalia; Carnivora; Phocidae. The record is from RefSeq and is a predicted model, not a curated record.
CUGUGGGCUGCGGGGAGCCGGAGGCCUCUUGAUUGGCUCUUUGACGCUUUCGGACCAAUUGUGUUGCUGCAUAGGCGUGGUUUUCACAGGUCGAGUGCUGGGGGAUAGAGCCGAGUUAUAAAAGGAAGGUGUCGGAAACUGUAACGUCGCAGCGCCGCAUCGGUACUACUGCCCGUCCUGUGAAUAUGUCAACAUGAUCAGAGGGAGGGCGGGGAGCCACUGGGGAGCGCGCGCAGAGUCGCCUCUAGGUGGCUUAUCGAGAGAUCGCCGCAGCCCCUGAGCUCGCUCGCCUGCGCUGGCUCGGCCCACGUCUGAAAUGCCUCAGUCAUCCAGCCGGGGAUCGAGGGAGGAGGCAGGGCCCGGGAGGAAGGGGGAGGAGGAGGGAGCGAGCGCGCCGGGCCAGGAAGGCGGAGAGCGCGCCGGGCGCCGGGCAGGGGCGCUCGCUUCUCGCGCGCUCGGCUCGCCUCUCGUCUCCGGGCCGCCGCCGCCGCUUCCCUGUGCGGCUCACCCGCUCCCUGCGGCCCCGGCAGGGCCAGGCGGACGGCCGAGUGCCCCGCGAGCUGCCAUUCCGCCGCCGGGCGCCGCACAAGGCGGCAGCGGCGGAGAGGCGAGCGCCGAGACUCCGGCCUUGCGCGCUCUCCAGCCCCACGUGGAGCCAAGCUCCGCCCGGCCGCCGCGGAAGGGCUCCCGAGCUCGGGGGGCUCUCGGCGCCGGGCUCCCGGCAUCCGGGCUCGUGGGCUCCCGGGCAGACGUGGGCCGGGGGCGCCCUCUGGCCCGGGCCCCACCCGAGACCGUGGGCGGAGACCCAGACGCCCCGGCACUCCUGCGCGCGGACUCGCGCGGGCACCCUGGGACCCAGCCACCCGCGGGAAAACACGUACACGCAAACACGUACACAGCCCGCGCCGCCGGCCCUGGUGUUGCUCCCCGAGGGAGCCGGACUCGGGGUUUUUGAAAUGCAUUUACCAGCCCUUUUUAAGUCUUGUCUAAUAUCUGAAUCCGGGCUCCCCGAGAGUUCCGCCUGACUGUGUGCGUGAGUGUGGAGCAGAGAAUGGAGACCCGGACAGAAGGAGCGCCGCGAGGGACUAGGUUCUGGGCCUGCCCCCGCGGAGCCGCUGUCCUCACCUCCCCGGGCCGCGGGCGAGCUGGGAGGGGGAGGCGCGCCCUCCUGGUAUAAUCUCCAGGCGUCGCACUUAUCUCUCCGUGCACCCGGGGACUUAUCUCACCAGAAGUCGGGGGUGAAUUUGUAGAACAAACCGUGAUACGCCCCCACCCCAGAGGCGAGGUGACUGUUCCAGUUCAGUCCAGCAGAAAUGAAUUCAUGAGGAAGAGGCCGGGGAAUUUUUCCUCCCGUCUUAUCUGACCCAGAAUCAGCAAGACGCAGGCCAGAGCUGGAUUGGCCCUCAGGCACUUUGACCACCCAACACCUUUGUUUAUUCAACAUCCUCUUUCCAGAUUUUCAGUCCAGACAGCUCUGUCUCUGCUUCCAUCUCUCACUCCCUCAAUUGCACAUGGAAUCCGGACUCUGAAGUGGAGGUCAGAACGUGCAUGUGCCGCCUCCCGCCAGGGUGCGAGCCACGGAAGCAAACCCGAGUGGAUCGGUGCCCUCCCUGCCGUGCCCACCGCCCAGGCCCUUCCCAAGCCGCCUCCAGAAGGUCCUAGACUCCCGGAUGAUUUCGGUGAACGUGUGCUUUCCCAACGCAGCCCCGACCCGCACUUUUCCUUCCUUCUUUGGCCGACUUGGCCGACUUUGGCUUCCCCCGCGGCCCAGAGGUGCCUGCGCCGUGCUUGGCUGGCCUCCCGUCUCUCGGAGGAGGCCCGGGACUGCGGUUUCCGCUCGCCACAAACCUGCCUGGCGCCCACGCAGCAGCCUGGCCAGCUUCCCGCUCGCGCUCGGCGCCAACCGCUCUGGGCCUCAGUUUCCCCGCUGCUUUGCGGUUGGCGACGUGCCGGCCACACGGUUGGAGGAGGAGGAAUGGAGAAUGGCUUGGUUGGUGGUGGGAGCGCAGUUGCUGCGUGUGAAGGGGCGGGGGGUCCAGACGAACCCUGCUUCUUUUCCCGCUCCCGUUCACCGCGGACUUCUACCCACCUCCGCGCCCAGAAGAGGAGACGAAACGCUGCUGCCGUCUCGCUUGCCACCCUAGGAAUGGAGCCCACCAACGCCAGGACCCCAGUCUUCUCUGAGGGCCCCCCACAGCCUGCCUGAGCUCGGUCGGCAGUGGGGGGUGCCGGGCUGUAGGCAGGGCAAGCUUGGUCCUGGCCAGCAGGUGCACGCUUGGGGGUGCGCGGAGCAGGUUCCCGUGUGGCUGCCGGCUCCGCGGGGAUGGCACUGCUGCUGCUGGCCUGGGGACAUUUGCAGACCCAGCUGUGGUUCACCGAGGCUGUGUUGACACACCUCCUGCUGAGCUUUGAGAGGUGGCCUAUCAGAGCCUUAGACCUUCCUAUGAGUCCAUUGGCCCUUCUAAGCCUCAGUUACCUCCUCUGAAAACCAGGAUAACAGGUCCUGCCACAGAGGACAUGGCAGGGGCGAAAUGACAUCGGGUGCGUACAUUGCUCAGCCACACCUUGGCCCAUAAUAAGUGCUCAUUAAACAUUAGCUGUUUGGACCCCUGAACUCUCUGGGCGCAGUCUAUUCAUCUCAUCUACUUU